CCCUUAGAUGUUCUGGGCCGCACGCGUGCUACACUGAGUAAUUCAAUGGGUAAGGGAACGCUAGAGCAUUACCUAAUCUUGAAAUUUGCUCGUGAUGGGGAUCGACGGUUGCAAUUUUCCGUCGUGAACGAGGAAUACCUUGUAGGCGCAUGUCAUCAUCAUGCGCCGAAUACGUCCCUGCCCUUUGUACACACCGCCCGUCGCUCCUACCGAUUGAGUGAUCCGGUGAGGCUCUGGGACCUGGACGGAAAGAGCGUUUCGCUUGUUCUGCUUGGGAAACUUGGUCGAACCUUAUCAUUUAGAGGAAGGAGAAGUCGUAACA
This 322-nucleotide ribosomal RNA is filed under the name uncultured eukaryote. Its description in RNAcentral is "partial 18S ribosomal RNA". It matches the Rfam family "Eukaryotic small subunit ribosomal RNA", at positions 1470 to 1796 of the family's 1831-position model. The record is from RNAcentral.